This 526-nucleotide long non-coding RNA is filed under the name Eucalyptus grandis. RNAcentral describes it as "long non-coding RNA (EGRA_LNC007865)". Lineage: Eukaryota; Viridiplantae; Streptophyta; Magnoliopsida; Myrtales; Myrtaceae. The record is from RNAcentral.
AAACAAUAGGCACUGCCAAAGUUCGGAUCUCAUGUGAACAUGGACCAGGACAAACAAUUCGCUCUCAAAAUGCAGUUUCAACACGGGCUACGAACGGGCUACGAAGGGAUCCAAGUUAAACCCUCCGAAAAAAAUCAAAACUUUAGGAGAUACAAGAAUUCAAACACGAAUCCAAGAGAAACCCAACAACGAACAGCACGAAUUGGAGCAGCAAACCUUGGUGGGUCAUGUGGGAACGCGUCAAAGUUCGCCGCUUUGACCCUUGUUUCGCCCUAUUCUACGUUCGUUCGCGUUCCUGCCGUCGAGAUCGAGAGGGAGAGGGAGGAAGGGAGGGAUGGAGAGGAGGGAGGCGAUUAAAGAAGCUGCAAUAGAAUCUCCUUUUCAACUAUCGAGGGAGGGAGAAGGGAGAGAGGCACAGGAGGAGUGGCAUAUUAUUAGAAAAUUAAAAAGAAAAAAAUUCGAUUUCAUUAAGGUUUUCCCUAAAUAGAUUGCUCUUAAUCGCAUCUAAUGCUUUCUUUGGACUCUG